RNAcentral lists this ribosomal RNA (446 nucleotides) under uncultured bacterium. Its description in RNAcentral is "partial 16S ribosomal RNA". It matches the Rfam family "Bacterial small subunit ribosomal RNA", at positions 338 to 795 of the family's 1533-position model. The record is from RNAcentral.
CCUACGGGAGGCAGCAGUCGAGAAUCAUUCACAAUGGGGGAAACCCUGAUGGUGCGACGCCGCGUGGGGGAAUGAAGGUCUUCGGAUUGUAAACCCCUGUCAUGUGGGAGCAAAUUAAAAAGAUAGUACCACAAGAGGAAGAGACGGCUAACUCUGUGCAAGCAGCGGCGGUAAUACAGAGGUCUCAAGCGUUGUUCGGAAUCACUGGGCGUAAGGCGGGCGUAGGCUGUUUCGUAAGUCGUGUGUGAAAGGCGCGGGCUCAACCCGCGGACGGCACAUGAUACUGCGAGACUAGAGUAAUGGAGGGGGAACCGGAAUUCUCGGUGUAGCAGUGAAAUGCGUAGAUAUCGAGAGGAACACUCGUGGCGAAGGCGGGUUCCUGGACAUUAACUGACGCUGAGGCACGAAGGCCAGGGGAGCGAAAGGGAUUAGAUACCCCUGUAGUC